Corythoichthys intestinalis (scribbled pipefish) is the source of this 819-nucleotide long non-coding RNA. RefSeq lists it as uncharacterized. The transcript is spliced from 4 exons. Lineage: Eukaryota; Metazoa; Chordata; Actinopteri; Syngnathiformes; Syngnathidae. The record is from RefSeq and is a predicted model, not a curated record.
AUAAUGUAAUGCACACAUUUAUAAAAUUCGUAUUUCUUAACCAAGUGUUUGCUGAAAUGUUGAGUUACAAACAAAAACUUACUGUUUGGAUGUUGAUGCAUUCUCUUCUUGUUGUUGUAGAAGAUUAAUGAAUGGACUAAAACAGUUUUGCCCACGCCACAACUCAAAAGGAAAUGCGUGUUUGUUAUGCUGUUUUGUGCUACGAAACAAAAGCACAUGAAUAGGACACACUUGUACUUGCUAAUUAGCAAGUGAUAAUGUUCAUCUUUCCCAGUGCAUGUGAAGGCAGCAUCAAAUCUGUUGGAGGACUGGCAACCUUUUAAUUUUCACAAUGGCGUACAACAAGUUGCCGUCACCGAGCUGCUCGUGACAUUAGGGACGACGGUGGUCCUGCUUUGGCCUUUUCGCCUUCUUCCGCCACCUCCCCGAUCACUGUCUUUAACGCCUUUCGAGUUUUCCAGCUGGCCCCGUUUGGAUUUCUUCUCUGAUGAGACAAAAAUAGGGACUCCACUGGGUCCACUCGGACAGUUGACACUCUGGAAAUGAAGAGGAACAAUAAUGGGACUCCCAGAAGACACGACUACCUCGACCAUGGGUGGUCUUCCCCGCUAGCACGAUAAUGAAAGAAAAUGAGGACCAUAUUAGGUUGUUGUUCUUGGUAAGUAUUGUGCCAGUGGUGCAUCAUAACAUUCCAAGACAACAACAGUGUUAAUCAAAAGCCAUCAUUAUUUGAUCGUUAAGAUAAUUAUUUCUCCAUGCAGUGAUUCUCGUAAGUGAAAGCACUUAAUGUCAUUAAGAAUUUGUUGGCAUGUAUGUUCA